UGUUAGGAUAAGUGGGUGCACCUGGUGCCCAUCCCCAAAGCACCUGGGACGGGGUUUAUAAAGGUGUGGCUCAUUCUGGGUAGCUCUUUGUGCUCCUGUCCUUCUACCUGUUUGUGGAAAACAGCCAGUCCUUCCUGAUGGAACAGGUCGUCCUGUGUUCCCAAGGAGUUCCUUGGGCUGCUGUGAGUGCUGCUGUCCCUGCUGGGGUUAGGGAGAUUCCCUCUGUCCAUAGCAGGACUGGUCCCUGCAGAGAAAAAGAAAAUUGCGUGACAAAGAUCAGCCACCUCUGACAUGAAAUGCAGAUUUCAAACAUUGCACUUCAAUGGAAAAUGAUCAUUUGGCAAAAGGAAUUUUCUUAUCUCAGAAGCAAGGAAAAGUCUGUGAAGCCUCUCUUCAAAGCUUUCUCUUUUGGAAUUGUCAUGCUAAAGGAGGAUUUAAUUAAUGCUCUGUAUGUGCAUUUCCAAUGGAAAUGGUCACACUUGGAGAAGAGAGGGAGGAAGGAAAGACCCUCUUGCUUUGCUUUCCACAGUUAAUUUGGAGAACUCUUCUUUGGCUGUGGUCCCUGAUAUCUCCCAUGGCCGCAGUCUCAACACUGAAAAUAUCUAUGCAGCAUUCUCAUGGGUGGCAACUGGUCUUCUAGAGCACUUCAAGAAAAAAAACUUCAAGUAGAAAAGCUUUUUUUCAUAUUUCCCAAAUUCAUGUGUGCUUUUCAAGUCUUAGUUUUCAAAAAAUGUCCUUUUUUAUGUGUUCUUUUAAAAUCAUAGUUUAAAAAAAAUUGCCUUUUUGGAUGUUUUUGUCAGGUCACAGGUCUGUGUAUAGUAUUACAGUAAAACAAGUCUGUGACUGACAGACCCUAGUGUGACAUGCAAAUGUACUUAUACCAUGUGUUCUUUACAUUUUCCUGAGUGUACAGGCAUAUUUUUCCUCAAAAUUUUGAAAAAACCCUCCAUUCUCCUUCUCUGUGUCUCAGAGAGGGGACUGUUCUAUUCUGGAAGAUUUUUAUGAUUAAAUACAUAAGCAGAGAUAUAGGUAGCUGAUAGGGGUAGCAUGGAUAUAAGUGGGUCAUGGAAAACUGUUUUCCCAGUCUCUUUUGUCUCUUUUCCAAACAGUGUCUAUGGGAACAGGGAGCUUAAUGAGCUGGUUGUGACACAGGAUGCGUGGGCAGACCUUGCUGUUAUCUGUUUGGUUCUGGAGAAACACUCAAUCACAAUUGAAUGCAAGAAUUGGCAUUGGAAAUUUGGCAGAAAGCAAUACUGUCCUAAUGGCAAGAUUUAAAAUGAAUAUUUCAAUUUUGGUGCCAGAAUAUAGUAACUAGUGGAUGAAAUUGCUCAUAAAGCAUUCAGCAGCCUCAUUAAGAUGGGUCAUAUUGUCUGCAGGCAGGAGUAGUCUUGGAAGAUGAAUCUUUCUCUGUCCUUAGAACUGUUGUUUAAAGAACAAAAUCCAGCAUCUGGUACUAAUUUAAAGCCUUGUCCAUGCUGUAGAAUUAGAGUCUUAGCCAAUUAUUUGAAAGUUUUCAUUUUGGUUUCUAAUGGGUAAUGGUACAGCUCAUAGAUGUCUUAGUAAUUUAGGUGCGUACCACAAAGCCUGAGGUAAUUGAGCCAGUUCUGUAAACGUGUGCUUACCUUUAGGGCUAUGAGUAGCAAAAUGAACUGGAAUGGGAUUACUUUACUUUGGUGGUAAACACUCUUUCUCCCUAAUUUGUGCUGAAAUAAUAAUCUUGUCAGUUACACAGUUAGUAAAAAUACUUCUAGUAAUUUUGCUUUAUUGGCAUGAACAAAAAGAAAAUGCAUUUUUUUGGUGAUGAAAAAGCAAAACAGGGACUGUUAUACCAUACUAUCUCUUAUAUAGCCUAUCCAUGUAAGUUUUAAAUGCAAAGGUUAUUUAUCUGAAAACCUAAUGUGCCCUGUCCUGAGGAAUCUAAGUUCAUAGCCUUCUCUUGCUGCCAGUGUCAUGUUGCUCCAUGGAGAAGUCUCUGGCGGUGAGUUUAAACAAUUUCUUUUCUUUGCUAACUUUCCCGCAUAGUCAUGGAUCACUCUCCUAAAACCAAUAAUAGAAAUUGAAUAUGUAUGAGAUGCCUGUUCGUCCCUUUUGCAGUGAGUUGUACAAGCAGAAUCCAUUGAUAUCUGGAGAGCAUCAAAAUUAAUACGAGAAAAGCUCGGUUAAAAUGUUUACUUAAAAAUAUUUCAGCAGCUUUUUACUGAGCUGCCUCGCGGUCCCGCUGCAGCGCGAGCAGGGCUCUUGCACGCGCAUUGAGAUGUCAUGCUGAGCUCUGCUGCAACGUUCUGGGGCUGCCUCAGAACCCCGUGCUGCUAUUAGAGCUGAAAACAUGUAAUGUGUUAUUUGGUUUGAAACCAUAAAAAUGAUUUUUGUUUGUCAUGCUCUGCUCUGCAUGGUCUCAAGGUACUUUGCUGUUUAACUCGAAUUUCAAAUCCUUAUGGCAUGUGGUAGAAAUGUUACAGUCGUGGGGUUUUUUUCUCUCUUCUUCUUUUUCUUAUCUACAUAAACAACAUAACUUUGUCAGAAAAUUGAAAAUGUGCACUUUGUCCCAUCAGCUAAAAUGGGCUGUCAGAUAACGCCUUUUUUUCUCCAUUGCAUCAGAUGAAUGAUGUAAAUGGUUUUUGGCUUUGGAGUUUUUUGCAAGGCACUAGAGUAAAUGAUCAGAGUAGUAACAUUUUUAACCUUAUCUAUCAUACUGAAACAUUUUUUCUGCCUCCAAUAAAACAUGUCAGAGUCGAUUAAGGACAUUCUUCAAUGAGGUAUAAUUCACAGAUUUUAGUAGCGAAUCCAAGAGCACUGAAGUAUUAAAGAGGCUGUGAAUACUUAAUUACGGAUAUGUUGCCAUCCUACCUUUUACUGAAUUCCCUUAACACUUUGGUGCUCUGUAUCUGAAAAUGCUCUUUUCCUCUGAUGGUGAAGUAAAAGGAAAAGCCAGGUACAAUGGCAGAGCAUAUGUCACAUUGUAUCUAGUGACAGAGCCGUGAGAGAUACUGCUGUUCUAGUACAUUCAGCUGUGCUUAUCUGGUACAUGAGUGCACAUUACUUUCCAUGGGCUUGGAUCACUUUGGACAGUA
Molecule: long non-coding RNA, 3071 nt
Organism: Zonotrichia leucophrys gambelii
Lineage: Eukaryota; Metazoa; Chordata; Aves; Passeriformes; Passerellidae
Exons: 6
Source: RefSeq, a predicted model, not a curated record